RNAcentral lists this long non-coding RNA (9843 nucleotides) under Ananas comosus (pineapple). RNAcentral describes it as "long non-coding RNA (ACOM_LNC032833)". The record is from RNAcentral. Lineage: Eukaryota; Viridiplantae; Streptophyta; Magnoliopsida; Poales; Bromeliaceae.
AUUCCCUCCUCCAAUCGCUCGAUUCCUUCGCGCGAUUCCUCGAUUCGACAAAACCCUCGAGCGAGCCCCCCUUCCCCCUCCGAUCGCCUGAUUCCUCCAAUCGAGAAACCGUAGGAGCUAAAACACCUAGGGCGAGCCCCCUCGGGCCCCUCCUCUCUCCUAUCGCCAGAUUCCUCCCAUCGAUAAACCGUAGAGCGUAUCCAGUUAGGUUGCUCUAUCAUUGGUAGGCGAGAUUACUUCUCACUGGAGCGAGGAUUUUAAUCGGAAGAGGUAAUCUAUUUACUCCUGUUCAUUGAUUUUCAAAUCCCUUUAUUCAAUUCUUAGUUGUUUUAUCUAUCUGGCCAUUUUAUGAUUUGCUUUUGUUUCUUCUGUAUAUACGAUGGAAUCUGUAAUCUUCGUGUUUUGAUACGUACCACUUUUCAGUAUUUUCCUGCAGAGUAAUUAGGAUGAAAUCGAGUCCGAUGAAGUGAUUGCAGUGAUUUAUUGAUGAGAACGAGUUUGAAGAGACUGGAUGAUUCGACGAUGGGACCAGAGAGGAUACCAUUGCACGGCUAGAUCAGAUGAAUAUAUCUAAUGUUGAAGGUCAAAUCCUCUUUUCCUAACCUAUUUCUCUUUCGCGCAUCUCUGCUUUAUGUACAGUUUUAGAUGCUGGCUCUUCUUACAGAAAGUUUAAAGCAAGUACAUCUUACUUUAAAGAACAUCUUACUUUAAACUAGAUUCUACUAUUGAAGGCAAGGUUAGUUUUCUUCUUCUUCGUCUUCCUUCUGUUUGCACACAUCUUGCAACUCAGAGUUAACCUUAGUUUAGGCAACAUAAACUUGAGACCGCUCCUUUGAUGUUGAUGAAUUUCUUAAAAUGUCAAGCAUGCAUGGAUCUUUGAUCGAUAGUUAUCUCUUGUCAAUUUUAAAUCCAACCUAUGGUUCCUUUUUGGGAUCACCAGGGAAAAGAUAUCAAGCUCCGAACUGGAGAUUGGUUUUAGUUUUGAAUGAGCGCAUGUGUUGAUAAGGGUUCGUAUCAGGUCUGGAAUGGCUUUUAAUGACAUCAACAACUGAGGCUAACUUAAUACAGAGUGAAAUGUUCUAAAUCAAGCGAAUAAACUAGAGUUGCAUCUCACCUAUUUAUUUGUUUGAUUCGGGAUGACUUGUUAUGUCUUACCUAUCUAUAUAGGUGAUACGGGUUUGUGUCGUCCCAACUUGAAAGCUUUUUGAGUCAAGUCUAGGUCUAGCGCAUGACCUGAUUUGAGUCCUCGAACCUUUGCUUUUGAAUAAGAACACAUCACAGUUAAUUGCUUCAUCAGGGCUAAAACAGAUAUAUGGGUUGAAGUGAAACAUAGCCAUUAAGAGGUCAUUUUGGAUAAAAUGUGUUGGAGACUUAGGUUAUGUUACUGAGUGAUUGAUACAGAAUUUCGAGGGGCUAAGUGGACCCAUGACUAGCCAGGCUUGUGCUUAGGUCAGCCUUCCCUUCACUCAUAUCUAAUUGGGCUGGAUUUUGUUUGACCGCAUAAGGCUAUUACUUGGAUGCAAACCCACUAUACACAAUCAAGUACGUUCAUUACUUUUUCUAACAUAUUGAGAUUAAUGCAUAUUAUUCAACUAGUUCUUUCUAACCUUCUCGUCUUAUUUCUUUAACCAGUGGUUGAUACUGUGAGUGGUUAGGAAAAUAUUUUUGCAUUUUCCUUCCAUCUCUCUGAGGAAGAUACUCCUCCUUCCUCUUCUUGUAGUUGUCUAUAUUCAUUUUAUUAAUUUUUUUCAUUUCUAUAUUAUCCUUUUUCGAUCACUAUCACUUAUCCCUCCCUUUCCCAUUUCUUACUCUUCUUUGUUUAUGGUUUUGUUGCGUAUAGGCUUUGAUUUCUGUUUGUUUUAUUUUAUGUUAUGUCUGAUUUUCUUUCUUUUGUAAUCUACUUUUGUGUUGCUUUCGCUAUUUUUUUUUUUCUUGUUUACUCUCUGAUGUAAGUGAGUUCAAGUAUCUAGAACUUCCGAAAAAUUAUUUUUGCAAUAUUUAUUUCUAUUUUUUGUUGUUUCUAUUUACCUAUCACUUUAUAGUUGUAAAUUGACUUAUUUUUACAAUUAUUUUAAUUAUUAUUGUAAUUUCCUCACAAUAUUAUUAAAACUUUGUAUUCUUUUAUCUGGAACACUGUGAUAUUAAAGGGGCGCAUCUGCUUCUUUAUUUUUCUAUAACAAGUUUUACUGAUAUUUUCUCCUCACUUUUUUGAAUUGUUAUUUCUUUUGUUAUCCUUUGUCUAUCCUUUUCCGUCUUUGCUCCGCCUCUAUUUUAUGUGUUAUUAUUUCUUUUUUUCAUUUUGAUAUGUUCCUUUCAUUUGCCAAUUUGGAUUUUCGUGUUCUAGUGUUUUUUUCCUUUCGUAUUUUGUAAACUUUCUUAUGUAUAGUUUUCACUUUUUUCUGUUUGUUUAAUGAUGUUAAUUUUGUUUGCUUAAUGAAUUUUAUAGUGUUAAUGAAUUUUAUAGCGCUGACACUAUAGGGUUUUCUAAACAAAUACAUGUGUUGAAAUAAAACUAUUCUUUUUGGAUUAAAAGGGUUAAAGAGUUAGGUGAUCAGUUUCCGUGUGACAUACCCCAAGCCCUAAACCUGAACUCGUAGUCCUAAACCAUUCUAAAUUCUAAAAUCCCUAAACUCUAAGGGCUUGUUUUGUUCGUCUAUUUUUGACUCUUGAAUCAGAAUGAGGUUCACUGAUUUUAAUAGUUAUUGUUUGUUCACAAGAGUUAGAUUUCGAUUUUGUUCACAAGAAUUAGAUUUUGAUUCUCAUUCCACUUUGGAAUGGGAUUUGACCCAAUUCAUUUAUGGCCUAAUCUGUCCUUGAAUCCUAGAUUGGCCCAUUCUGGAGUUAACCACUUAGAGCCCUCUCUCACAAACACCUCCCUCUCCACUCCCUUCAUCAUUCUUUUCUCUCUAAACAAAAAUUCUCUUUCAAAAUUCUAGGUGUCCUAAUUGACCAUUCUGAUUUUUAUUCCAAUAAAGAACCAAACAUUUUUUGGAUGAUUCUUCAUUCCAUUUCUCAUGUCAAUGCAGUCCAAUUCCAUUUCCAAUUCUUAUUCCAAUCAUGAACGAAACAUGCUGUAAAUGCGAAAAUGUUUCUCCCAAGGAUUUCCUUGCAAGCUCAGUGUAGAGAAAUCUGAUUUCUGCAAGAUAGGCUUCACAAUAACAAUUACAUGGCAUCUCCUUGUCUUGAUUUAUACUCCAAUCUUUUACAAUCUCCGUCAUUAUCAAAUUAGGUGAAUUAUGGGAGUAUCCCUAUUAUUAUAAAGCAUUCCGAAAAGAUAAUUUUUGGCAGUAUGAUUUGGAGAUAGAAGGCCUGCUUGCAGAAGCGUUCUAGUAAGUGUUGAAAAGAAAACCCCCGACGUAGAGUAGAAGCCCUGCCAAGAAAAUAGAUGUGAGGGUCACAUUGCGUGGCAUCUUUCCUUCAUCGCUUCUGAAGAACAGAGCCUCAUAGAUAGGCAAGCAGUUGGCUGCAAUGAAUCCGGCUAAGAACAAGUGCACAAACAUUUCGUCGAGCACUCCGAUACCUAUGACAGCUGCUCUUGUGAUCCCAGCAAUAAAGGAGGCUAAGUUCAGGAUUGCUGUCGUCCCCAGCAAGAUGAAGAAGGGUGAGGCUAUGCCGAAAUCGAAGACCUCGUUAUCGUAGCGCUUGCGCUGCUCUUCUUCCAUGGCUUUGCUGGUCACAUUGAAGCCUUGCGAAGGUAUGCCAGCUUGGUUGAGUGCAAAUUCGAUAGUCCCAAAGAGAAAUGAUGUGACACCUCGGAUCAUCCACAUCCUCUGGUCGCUCCACCACCUCGCGACACUUCCCCCGCUCAUUACAAAUUCGGCGAGGUCUUGGCCGUAAGCGGCCAAGAAGAGGUACGCGCACAAGUAAAUCCUCGGUUCAGAAGCCUGCAAAUAUUUACAUAUAUAUUAUGUGUUAGUAUCUCUAUCGCAAGCAGGUUGUCUCUAGUUUUUAGUUACCACGGUUUUACGAAAUACUACAGAACAAUACUAGUAAUUAUCAUUGCUGGUGUGCCUGUGCACAACAAGCAAUGAAACAAUCUUCUUUAAACUAACCUACCUAGCUAUAACUCAAACAAAUAUACAGAAUUAAUGAUUAAUUUGAGUAAUGGAGCACGGGAUUGUUGUGGAUAUAUAUGGGUUAAGAGACUUGUGUGUGAAAGGGGCUGUAUAAUUUGUGUACUGGUCUGAUGCAAUAUAUUGAACAGAUCAGAGAGAUGCUUACCUUUGGAAAGAGGGACCUCUGGCUGACUAGUGCUAGCUGUGGGAGAAGGGCAUAUGUUAUGAUAGGAAUACACCAAAUGCCCCAGAAGGCGUAAUAUCCAUAGCCUAAUCCCAUUGGCAGGGAAGCGUUCCUUGCACCGAACGUGAGGGGACUGUAUCUUGAGAAGGCCACCUCAAAGAGCCCCACAACCCAUCUCUUGCACUGGCUCAGUGAAUCAUGUAGGCUCUUUGGUGCAUCUCCCAAGAACGCAGGCCGUGCUGGGUCGCUAAACACCGACUCCCAUCCUUCACAGUGCAGUCAAAAGCCUGUGUAGUAAUCUUCAACGAGCGACCCAUACCUAAAACCGAGCUGCAAAAUUUACAAACAAACAAAUCAGCUGCAUUUCAUCAUGCACAUUGAUUCAAUUGUUAAUUUGACUAAACGGGCCGGAGAUGGAAAGCUGUGUAAAGUAUAUAUAGACAUGGAGGUCUUGCUUGUGAGAAAUCAGAUGCAUCUGGCCAGGGUACAUCAAUUGCAAGCUAAUCUAUUGUAAGAUAGAUAUAAUAAGUCCGUCCAGCACUGGCACAUUUAACGUUUAGAAUUUGAUUUUUGAAGAAAAAAGAUAGAGGCGGCACCAAAUGAAGCAAUCUCUUGACGUGCUUCUCAAUUCCACUCACCGUAGAACCCCAUUUUGUACCCAGCUCGUAGUCACAGGCAGCCAUGUCAUGCACCUGAGCCAUGGUUGGCUCCGAGCCAAUGAAACCAAUAUAAGGAGCUUUGGAAUUUGUCAAGUUUGAAGAAGGUGAGAAGGAGCCACAGAGGGCAUGACGGGAGUGGAAACAGUUGGUGCCUACGAAGUCAGGCCCGCGGAGACCAUCCAAGCCGUAGCUAUUAAUUCUGAAGGACCGCCGAAUCUCGCCUCCGUAUAUGUCAUGCUUGUUGAGCCCCUCAAAAUGCUGUGGGAACUGAACAAAGGCAAGCUUUGGGGCAAGCGACGGAUCGAGGAAGUAGCAGAGGGCUCUUUGGGGAGAUUUGGGGUCGUUAGCGUACAUGUCGCAGUCAACCGUCAGAACAAUAGGAGCAUUGGACAUGAUUCCCGACACUCGAAGCUUGUGAGGGUUAACGAGAAGAAAAUCGACUUUAGUUAGUAUAAUGAAUGUCGAGGAGAAGGUAAUUAUAAUGAUGAUGAUUUUAUUGACAUAGCUUGGAGUGUGCUGGUACCAGGACAUUGAGCGCGCCGGCCUUGAAGUGGUGAGGAGAGCUGGGACGUUUCUCUCUCGAGAGGUAGACGAGAUUUGGCAACGGAGUGUUUGUUAUAUCUCUGUCUUCAUCACUUUUGAGCAGAACCUAUAAAUUAAAUUGGAACCCCAAAUAAAACAAUCUGCAUACUGUUGAGCAGAUACUUGUGCAUCAAUCUUGAGAUGGGUAGCAUGCUACCAAUCUCGGUUUUCUAAACAAAAGAUAAUUUUUGUAAGCGAAAUUAACUGUGCUUGAUUAUGAUGUAACAUUAGUUUAACACUCUUAUGUAGCUAAGAGAUUUGAUUAAGAACAAUGACUACUCAUUAAAUCCGCAAUUUAACAUAAUUUAAUUGCAUUGAGACUCUGUCAAGCAGAUAAUAAAUUGAUACUUGAUCACGAAUCAUAGCGCUGUGCCGCUGUCCAGUUUGUAAAUCUUGGGUAUUUAAUUAAUUAUACAUAUAAGGUGAGAAAUAAUUAAGUUAACCUUGAUGAUAGAAGGGUGAUUGUUGCGAACAAAUCCCUUCCAUUUGUCGAAAAGCUCGCGCUCUUCCGCAGAGACAGUAAAGUCAUUUGUAACACAGCCUUUCUCCAUUGCACUUCCCACAUUCUCUUUCAUGGCAUCAAACAUCAUCUGCAAUAUUGUGUACAGAAGAAAGGAAAACAGUGAGAGCAUUCAAACUCUGCAAAUGUAGAACAGAUCGAAGGUAUAAAAUGCCGUUUUCUUCCUUUUCUUUUAUCAUAUGUAGCCUUUCUUGAACUCUUUAGCAAAUUGAAGUUGGCAUGCUGAGGCAUAGGACAAUAAUGUGACUUGAUUUAGAAAGUUAAAGAAAUAAACACACUUAAGGGAAUCAAAUCCACAUCCACUUCUCCAUUUGGAUUGUAGAUGGCGCAACGAAGUUAAAGAGUGAUGCUGGUUUUUGUAGAACUUUCAUAAAUAGGUGUAUCCUUUUCCUUUGUAUGCAGAUCCCUGUUGAGUUAAGUGGCAUGAUGCUGCGGUUUGUAAGUCCUAGGCUAGAUAAAUGUACACCCACGUGAAGAUGACAAUUGUUAAAUAUAAAAAUAUUUAAACACCGUUCUCUAACAGCUUAAGCUUUUAGAGUACAACGGUUGUUUCACAUGGUAUCAGAGCAGGAGGUCCUGAGUUCGAAUCACGCCAGGCUCCUAGCAUAUUACCGAUUAAAAAGUCUCGGGCCGGGAGAGUGUUAAAUAUAAAAAUAUUAUCUUGACGCGAUGCAUCGUCUCGUUCGAUAUCUAAAAGAAGCACCAGGUCAAGGGCUGUUCUUUCCUUCACAGGGACAAUUAAAACUAAAUAGCUACUGCGACGCGGAUUGGGCCGGAUGUCCAACCACACGACGUUCUAUGACAGGGUAUUGUAUAUUUCUUGGGAGUGCGCUUGUGUCAUGGAAGAGUAAAAAGCAAGCCACAGUGUCGAGAUCCUCAGCAGAAGCGGAAUACAGAUCUAUGGCAGCAGUCACUUGUGAGCUCACUUGGUUGAGGUACCUUUUACGAGAUUUGCGCAUUGAACAUCUUGAACCUGUCAGGUUGUUUUGUGAUAAUCAAGCAGCAAUACACAUUGCUGCAAAUCCAGUAUAUCACGAACGAACGAAGCACAUAGAGUUAGGUUGUCACACGAUACGCGAACGAAUUCAAAAUGGGGAGAUAGAGACGGCCUAUGUCCAGACGAGACGACAAAUUGCUGAUAUAUUCACAAAACCACUAGGACAAGUCGUUUUUCGAUCACAUCUCAGCAAGUUAGGAGUUCAUGACAUUCACGCUCCAACUUGAGGGGGAGUAUUAAAGGAAAGAAAUUAUUUUGUAUUUCAAUCAAGAGAUUUGUGUAUAGCUGGAAUUAGGAAUAAUAAUAGGCAUCAUGUCUGUUGCUUAUGACUAAGAGAAAUCAUAGGAAUCCUAGCUGUAAUAUACCUAGUAUAGUUGUUUUUUACUGGAUAUAAAGCAAAAGGCUUGUAAUGGUCUGAGAUAUACACAAUAUAUGAAGAAAUUUCUUCACAUUAAUUUGUUUUUCUUCUACAUUUUCUAACAACAAUCCUUAUUAACUUACUGGGGACCUGAUUGGAUGCCUAACAAUAUAUUUUCUUGAGUUUAAAACAUUGCUGUGUGGGCAUGACUGAUCACUGUGAUUACCAUUAAAUUUUUUUUUUCGAGCAUUGGAGUGUUUGGAUUGUCAAAAUAUUUCUUAUAUUAAAAUAUAGUCAUCUCUCUAAAAUUGACUGCUUGGUUAUAUGAAUAUUUUAUAUGGUAUAUUUUUUAGAUUUACUCAAGACCCAUGUAGUAUCUUUAGGUGAGGAAUUUAAUUAAAUGUUUAGAAUGGAAUACCAUUUAAACCCAUUUUUUCGGACUACGCUAAAGUAUCUCUUAGAUGAAAUUGCUAUCCUACAGAGUAACAAGGUAAGUGGAGGAACAAAUAUGAACUCCAUUUUCGAAUCACAGGAAAUCCCCAUAGGCCCUAGCCUUCUUGGAUGAAAGCUUAUUCAGCAUAUCUAUAUAUAUCUAUCUUCUUAUAUAUAUAUAUAUAUAUAUAUAUAUAUAUAGUAUAUAUGAAAGUUUAAUUUCAAAUACUGAUGUGGCAUGGGGUCGAUAUUCAACAAAAAUAACUAUGGCAUCUUUUGCCAUUUGUAAUAUCUUAUUUGAUAUGAGAAUUUUUAUUGUGAUUGAAAGCUAAAAAUCAAAUCAAAUGAAUAGUAUAUUUGACCCCAAAUUAUUUUUUUGGGAAUAAAAUAAAUUAUCUCGUAAGUGAAAUAUAUUAUUAAUCUAUUAUUCUAAAUUAUAAAUAUGAAAAGCUUUCGAAGAGCGAAAAAUUAUUUUUUUUUGGCUUUCAACUAUACAAAAAUAUUCUUCUAGUGAAUAAAUUAUCUUUAAAUAACAUUUUUUGAUAUCAAAAUAAAACCUUAAUGGGCAUAAAUCAAACUUAUUAGCUUGCAACACACAAAAAGAAUUUCAGUUCGAAUAGUAAGUUAUUAUUUGCUAUCUUAUUUUAGUGAAUGACAAAUUUUAUAUGGCCGCGCGUGCAACGUGUUGUGAUAAGGUCAAUUAAUUUGGGGCCAACCCCAUCAGUUCCCCUGAUCUCCGGUGCCGAGACGGCUCAGAGUUCUUCUCUUCGGGCGCCGACGUCGGUGCGGGCGUCGACGUCGGUGCCAGCGCCGGCGGAGGAAGAGGAGGCAGUUUCGUCCUCGUCGAGGCUGCGGAGGUGGUGGAGGGUCAGAAAAAAAAAAAAAAAAAAAAAAAAGAACGAAAGAAAAAAAAGAAAAAGAAAAAAGAAAAAAACAAGGGUAUUUUUUUUUGUUUGAAUAUGCAAAAUUUAAAAUAGUCGCCCAUUUUUAUAAAAUCGCAAAACUAGAGAAUUUUUUUCUAAAUUUUAUAAUUUUUAAUAUUUAAAUAUUUAAAAUGCUAUAAAAUAAAUUUAAUUAAUUAAAUUUUUUUAAUAUUUUAUUUUUAAUAUUUUUAUUAUAUUUAAAUAUUACAUGUGUCCAUUUUCAUUGGUGCAUCUGGUGCAUGAAAAAUAUAUUUUUAUUUUAGUGCAUAUAUCUAAAAUUUAUAAAUAUUAAUAUAUAAAUAUUUAAAUAUUAUAAAAUAAAUUAAAUUAAUUAAAUUUUAGUUUUGACAUCUUUAUGGUACAAAUUUAUUGAUGUGAAUGAGAUGUAUAUGUACACUAAGUAUAGUCAAUGAGUUCGACUAAAGACCAUUUUAAAUUUGACUCAUCAACUAUGUUAAUUCGAUUAAUAUCUCAUAAUUUUUAAUUAUUUUGAUUUGAGUUAUUUUUUAAAUUGGUUUAAGAAUUUGUUAGAUGUAACAACUUUAUUGCCUUCCAACUAUUAAACUAAUUGGAUUAUUCUUUCAUUUUUUAUUAAUUAUCUAUUGUAAAUCCGAAUUUUAGAAAAAAUAUAUUUAAUUUCUUCAACGUUGGUGCUUAAUUUUGUUAAAGUUAGAGAUUUUUUACAAAAUUAAAUAUAUAUUCAUAAAUUCUAGAAAAAUAUUAUAAAAUUAAUUAAUUAAAAAAUAGCGAAUAAAGUAAAUAUUUAUUAUUUUAUCAUAAUAUUUUUAAUUUUCGAUAUUGCUUGUAUGGAUCGACAAAAAUGAUCUGAAUAAAAUUAAAAGAAUAAGAAGAAAAAAAAUAAAAAAGAAAAAAGUUCGUAACAAAUUUUAUAUUUUAAAAUCAAAUGUUAAUACAAAAUAUGUAUUUAAUAUAUAUAUAUAUGUUUAAUAAUAUUAUAUAUUAUAUUUUAUAAAUUUAAUUUAAAGACACACUCAUCGUACCUGCAGUGAAGCGCGCUGGUACAUUGCUGGUAUGCAUCUAUAAGCUUCAGCUGGUGUUUGGUGAAAGUACCUUCAUCUUCUGGGACUCGGAGUCCCCGCAGCGAUCGGGAGAGGCGAAGUAGGCGUCCGGCG